UGGGGAAUUUUGCACAAUGGGGGAAACCCUGAUGCAGCGACGCCGCGUGAUUUAGAAGGCCUUCGGGUUGUAAAAAUCUUUUCUAUGGGAAGAAAAUGACAGUACCAUAGGAAUAAGGACCGGCUAAUUACGUGCCAGCAGCCGCGGUAAUACGUAAGGUCCGAGCGUUGUCCGGAAUCAUUGGGCGUAAAGGGUACGUAGGCGGGUAAGCAAGUUAGAAGUGAAAUCCUAUAGCUCAACUAUAGUAAGCUUUUAAAACUGCUCAUCUUGAAGUAUGGAAGGGAAAGUGGAAUUACUAGUGUAGCGGUGAAAUGCGCAGAUGAUAGGAGGAAUACCGGUGGCGAAGGCGGCUUUCUGGCCAUAACCUGACGCUGAGGUACGAAAGCGUGGGUAGCAAACAGG
Molecule: ribosomal RNA, 402 nt
Filed under: bacterium
Lineage: Bacteria
Description: partial 16S ribosomal RNA
Rfam family: Bacterial small subunit ribosomal RNA
Source: RNAcentral